Anneissia japonica is the source of this 4401-nucleotide RNA transcript. It is a transcript of the gene named sodium- and chloride-dependent taurine transporter-like, with no coding region annotated. The transcript is spliced from 14 exons. The record is from RefSeq and is a predicted model, not a curated record. Lineage: Eukaryota; Metazoa; Echinodermata; Crinoidea; Comatulida; Comatulidae.
AUUCAUUCUUGAUCAGUUGUUACAAGGGUUGAAACCAUGGCCGAUGCCGGGAAAUAUUCGCAGGUUGAGUCAAAAGAAACCGAAGAAUGCGGCAAGGAAAAUUUGAACCCGCGAGGAAAAUGGAUCGGAAAACUGGACUUCUUGCUCUCUCUUAUCGGUUUUUCUGUUGGUCUUGGUAACGUUUGGAGGUUUCCGUAUCUUGCAUACAAGAACGGCGGAGGUGCUUUCCUGAUUCCGUACUUCAUCUGUCUGAUUGUCGGAGCCAUUCCGUUAGUUUUCUUGGAGGUCGGCAUCGGUCAGUUUACAUCUCAGGGUGGAAUAUCAUGCUGGGGAAUAUGCCCUAUAUUUAAAGGAAUCGGUGUCGCCAAUAUGGUGGUGGUACAAUUCGUGAACUAUUACUACAACGUCAUCAUAGCAUGGGCCCUGUUCUAUAUGUUCAAUUCUUUCACGAGUGUGCUACCUUGGUCGAACUGUAACAACGAUUGGAAUACAGAGUAUUGUGCAAGUGUUGACGAUUUUGUCGCAGCCAACGCAAACAACUACACAAGCCGAUACUUUGACGGCCAAUGGUACAACGGUACAGUCUACGACGGAAAGAUUAACGGAACAAAACUCGUCCCUGCUGCUAUAGAAUUUUGGGAGCGUAACGUGCUAAAAAUACAUCUAUCUGAUGGUUUUGGGGAUCCAGCAGGUCUGAAUUGGCCGAUGGUAGGCUGCCUUGCUCUAGCGUGGGUCAUUAUUUACUUCUGCAUUUGGAAGGGAGUCAAAAGCACUGGGAAGGUUGUCUACUUUACUGCAACAUUUCCUUACAUUCUACUUACCAUCCUCUUGGUCCGCUCUGUAACGCUUGAGGGCGCUGGCGUUGGACUCGAGUUCUAUCUCAAGCCGAAUAUGACCUCUUUAAAAGAAUCACAGGUAUGGAUGGAUGCGGCCACCCAGACAUUUUACUCUUAUUCCAUCGGAGUUGGCACGUGGUGCGCCCUCAGCAGUUUUAACAAGUUCAACCAUAAUUUCUGGAGGGAUUGCGUGCUGUUCGCGUUCGUCAACUCUGGGACUAGUAUUUAUGCUGGAAUCGUCAUCUUCUCUGUAAUCGGAUUUAUGUCGGUAACUCAAAAUAUUCCCGUUGAUGAAGUUGCAAGAUCUGGCCCAGGCCUAGCAUUUGUUGUGUAUCCCGAAGGAAUAGCGCAGAUGCCCGUGGCUCCACUAUGGUCAUUCAUGUUUUUCUUCAUGAUAUUAUUACUUGGAAUUGACAGUGAGUUUGUACAAGUAGAAGGAUUUAUCACUGCGAUUGUAGACUUGUUUCCCAAGUACCUCCGACGAGGGUAUCGCAAGGAGAUAUUCAUUGCAAUCGUCUGUUUCUGGUCGUUCCUCGUUGGUUUAUCUAUGGUUACAUACGGUGGGAUGUAUGUAUUCCAAUUAUUUGACUUCUACGCUGCAAGUGGAUCGACGCUGCUGUGGUUAGCUUUUUUUGAGGCCAUUGCAAUCGGCUGGGUGUAUGGAUCAAGACGCUUUUUAAACCAUUUUGAGGAGAUGUUAGGGAGACGAGUUAGAGGAUACUGGCUUAGAACUUGCUGGACAAUUUGCACUCCAUGCUUCACAGUGGGAAUAUUUCUGUUUGGUCUAAUCAAGUACAAAAAGUUGGAAUAUGCAUCGUUUGACGACAAUUACGUGUACCCGAUGGGUGGGUACAUUUUUGGAUGGCUUUUAUCUGUUUCAUCCAUGGUGAUGGUACCAAUAGUAGCAGCCGUUCAAUUCUUUCAUGCAGACGGUACCUUGGGGGAGAGACUGGAGUAUCUCACAACAAGUCGAAUUGUACACAGAGAAAAAACAAACGCAUACGGAUUGGAAAAUAUAGCGAGUGAAGAUAUGAAGAUGUAGACUACUGGAUGUCAUUAUUUUUUCCUUUUACUAGUUCAAUCAAUGUUGAAACACAAAUAUAUUUAGUGUUAUUGUCAGUGUUAUGCAAUAUACAAAACGGGGAACUUGUGUGUCAUCUGUUAUGUUACUAUACACAAUAUGUAUAUAUAUUUAUAAAUAUAUAUAGACCUAUAUAAAUUCAUGUUGUUUCCUAUAUAUACAUACAUAUAUAUAAACAUAUAUAUAUAAAUAUAUAUAUAUAUAUAUAUAUAGGCCUAUAGUAUAUUUACGCUAGGUAUAAAUAUGAGUUGUUACUCCGAGUUUCACGCUUAAUGGCGAUCAUCAGACAACUGUAAUUAGGCCUAGGUGUUAUGCUAUUUAUAUUGUUCAUAUAUAGUUUGUUUGCCUCGAUUCGGACUCGAACUUCCAAUGAAAGGCCCAGCAAGUUAACGCGUUUAUAUUGUUCCUUUAUUCGACUGCUGUUAGAAGUGUAUAGGUACCUCAUAUGUACUUUAGUUCUUCCUAAAAUGAGGACUUUUGAGUGAUCUAAUUAAUACCCUAUGUGGUACAUGUUUAACUUAUGUGAAGUUUAUCAUUAAAGGCUAAAGCUGCAAUCACAUCGGAUUUGAACCGAAAUUCGAGCCCCGUUUACACACUGAUUAUUUUCUGAUUGCUUCGUCUGUGGGAUUUCCGAUCCGAAAAUUCGGAGUCGGUGUGAAUGCGCCUUAAGUCAUGUUUUAACAACAGAAGAUCUCAAAGGUGAUUAUGAUACAGUCCGCCAAUGUAGAAAAAUUUACCAUUCGGCUAAGCCCCGCCCCUUGGAUAUUGUUGCUAAGGUCUAAACGACAGCGUAAAAACAGACGCAGACACAUGCGUUUGUGGGACAGCACGUGUUUGUGAUACACGCGCGUAUUCCAGGCUCUGUUCUGAUUGGUCAGUUGUUGAUUGACACUGCGGAAAGAGGUCUAUUGAUAUUAAGACGAUUUUACAAGUGUAUGGAAUUAGGCGCAUUUAGAAAGUAUGUGUUAAUAUAAAUAUUUGUAAAUCGAUUUGAUAAUUGCAUAGAGAUGCUGCCAGGUUAACCGAGGUCAUGAAGUAUUGAAGGUCAUGUGACCUAUCAUUAAAUCACCAAUAAUAAGUACAGUACUUGGUUUUGAGUAGUUUAAGUCUAUAGGCCUAUAUCUUUGAAUUCCCUUCAUACAUGUACAAAGAUGUCAUUGUAAUAAAAUAAUAAGUUUCAUUAGGUAGCCUAAAAAUUUUGCACUUGUACUUUUGUAUUACUAUAUGGAAAUCAAUUUUCCGAAAUUAAUAUUGUGGGUGAGUUUUAGAAUUUGACAUUAGAAGCUAUAAGCUAGAUGCUUGAAAAUUGUAUUCUGAUGUUCCUUAUAUAAAUUAUACAGUGUGAUGGUAAUUUGUCUUGUUGAUAGAUGUCUGUCUCGUGAAUCUUAGAAUUAGAUGUCUGGGAAACAUUAUUUAACUUAAUUACAUAUUAGAAAAUAAAAACACCAUGGGAGCGACUUGGGUAGAUCAAGAAAGUGUUUAAUCGUAGAUUACAAUCUAAGGUGUGUUAUAUUACCAUUAAAAAAAACACACAUUUUAUCAAAGCAUAUUUGAAACUUUCAUUUUUUGUAAAACAAACAAAUGAAUUUCAUACGAGAGAGUUAAGCUGGUUUCCAUACAAUCGCUACAUUGUUUUCAGUUCAUUCGUUGAACUGCGCUCCUCGAUUCGACCGACCACCAAUCAGCUUAAAGCCUGGUUUCCAUAAAAAUCGCUACACGCUGUCGCCGCCUCCUUUAGCGACGCUGAUUGGUCAGGAUCAGGGAGCGUUCCAGAAUGCGUCGGGGCAGUGCAAGGAUUUUAGUAAAAAAAAAGCAAAAAAGUUUGUGUGAUGUGCCCAUAUAUGGGCAUGAUGAUGUCAUUACACCCAAAUAUGGGCAUAUCACAUUUUAGUCGCAUUGAUGUGGACAGCUGAGCUACAAGCUUAAUGGAAUUAGAAGGGCUUAGAUGUAGUAAUGCCAAAAAUACAUCACUUUUUUUGGGUAGCAAGGAAAGCAAGACACUGGGGCAUAUUCCAUUAUAUUAUCUAUAUAAAAUACGUGAGAUAAUGUGGAGAGCCUAAACACGUUCACCUAGUCUGUAUUAAGUCAAUUUUUUAUUUGAAUACAUAGAUAAUCGGCCAGUACUCGAAAAUUGUUUAUUGAUAUCUCAUUAUCGUUAUCAACUAAGUAUAUGUGUGGUUUGCCAUUCUGUCUAAAUGGAGAAUCGAAAUUGAUACUGUAAGCCUACUUAUAAUAUAUUAGCAAUUUGUAUUUCACCCAUUGUUAUUAGAUUAUCCAGUUUUAAUAUUAAUACAUAAUUUGGGAUUAAAUCCAAGACUAUUGUUUUGAAAGUUGUAUGGGUUUCUUGAAUAAUAAAUUAAUAUUUAGGGUGUCAAUGUGCACCACUAGUGCGUUUUCCCCCUUUUUUAAACAUUGUGAUUCUUUUGAUGAAAAAAUACGUUUGAAUAAAAUUGAAUGAUUGAUUCAGAUUGAUUGACUGAUUGA